AAUCUCGAAAGCCUAUCUCAGUUCGGAUUGGAGGCUGAAACCCGCCUCCAUGAAGUUGGAUUCGCUAGUAAUCGCGCAUCAGCCAUGGCGCGGUGAAUACGUUCCCGGGCCUUGUACACACCGCCCGUCAAGCCAUGGGAGCUGGGGGUGCCUGAAGUUCGUGACCGCAAGGAUCGACCUAGGGCAAAACCGGUGACUGGGGCUAAGUCGUAACAAGGUAUC
This 222-nucleotide ribosomal RNA is filed under the name uncultured bacterium. RNAcentral's name for it is "partial 16S ribosomal RNA". It matches the Rfam family "Bacterial small subunit ribosomal RNA", at positions 1270 to 1500 of the family's 1533-position model. The record is from RNAcentral.